AUACCUUUGAAAGAUUUAUUCCAGCCGAUCAAUAGUUACCAAGGUCCAACCUACAUUUUGUUUGACAAACACAAGAAGAUACAAGUUAGUUCAAAAUCAUUUAACGUGUUCUAUUAUUAAGUAUCUGGUGGGUGUGGGUAUUUUGUAUUAGCUUUAUACCAAAAUAUAUUGAUAAUGUGGCAAUGGCAAAUUGCAAAACAAAACCAACACUAUUUCACUCCAGCUGCUCAUGGCAGUUGUCACGCAAUCGUACAGGCUGGACCUGGAUAAGCAAAUAAGAAAUGGAUUGACCAUUUCUAUGCAAACAGGUUAGUCAGAAGAUGAUCUAGUCUUCUCGGGUUCUGCUGCACGGAAGAUUUUUCAUUGACAACAGAUAGGGUUGGUUAUUUUUUCUCUUCUAUGCUUCAGACCUGUUCAGACAGACAUUCAAACCUUCGCACGGCCCAGUAAUUCUUGUGUUCUGUCCUGUUGCAAAUACGAUGACCCAUUGGAAUCCAUAGUAUACACGCAAUAACUAUAAGUGAGUGGACACCAUAUAUUUACCAUGUCCUCAAUAACUAUAACUUUAAUGAAAAUCAUGUAAAACAGCACAAUGUUACGAUAAUGCACAUUUUGCCAAGUUUCUUCCAUACUAUUGAGGACUGAAGGGGAACGUGGUUUAUUGGAUUGUUAUUCACAGUCCUUGGGAUUUGACGCAACAUUGUAAAGUGAAUGCAUUCUAACAUUGAAUAUAUCGGACUGAGUGUUGGUAAGAAAUCACCAAUAGUGCGCCAAGAACUGUACCUAUGCACCAAAUUGUUAUCUAUAUAGGGUGCUUGCCUCAUAGAAUAUUCCCAAAAAUUGUAGGUGAAAUGCUGACAAACAUAAUGCUGAAAAUAACAUAGAUCUGUAUAUUUUGUUUACACAGUAUAUCUGAGGUCUAGCCCAAACACAAUAAUUGAGAUGUUUUGAAAAAUUCUAACAUUAUUACUUGAGAUAUUUAAAAAAGGGGGUUUUAGGUUGAUUGAGGAAACGGAGACAGAACAAGGUAAUCCUGCAACAUAUUGGAGAAUAUGUGCAGUGUCAUUUAAAACAGUUUUGUUCAUAAGUUUGGGUUUGGGUCUCCUCAGUUUGCUAGACAGUCAACAGAAACCGUAUCUUUACACUGACUUACUUGCACACAGUCCUGGUUGUCCACUAGAUGUCUCCUCGUCUCUACCUCUGAUGAUUCACUUCACGCUGUGUGCACAAUGAGCAUCACAUGAUACUUUACCUCUUGUGUCUUUUUGUUGCUUUUGUCUCAAUGACGCCUCACACCUCGUGAAGUUUUCUUAUCACUGCUGUUCUAAUAUCAGUUUUUGUUUUCUUUCACAUACAUUCUCGAGUGUUCGCUCCUGUCGGUCACUCUGAGCUCUUGUUUUUCUUUCUGCAGACCCCCGUGCCCUAUUGCUGCUGCCAUGACAACAAUAAUGUUUGUCAUACUGAUUGUGUGCCAAAUACACUGAACAAUUACCUCCUGUCUGAUAGAGUGAAGCCCGGCCUUUUUCCAACAGCAAUUGCUCAGCAUUGCGUUUAUGUAAACAUUUGCUUGUAGGAGAUCAAUAUGUGCCUGUGGUGACAACAUGCUUUCACUUAACGAGAGGCCCUUCAGCAGGACCAUCUGUGAUUUGUCGCUCUGCAGUCGUUGACCCAACGGUUUGUCUCCGCUCUUGGCCGCACUGAGUCCUAUCCAUAUCUGAAGGCAUCCACUGGUGCAGCGGCAGACACAACAGGAUAAGCGUCUUUGUCUCAGACUCCUGUCUGUCAGAAACACCCCCCUCCCAGCCUCUCCUCUAUUUGGGCGGCUGUUACAGAGAGGGCAGAUGGCUCAUUACCAUAAAUAGGACAGAGAGAGAGAGUAAGUGAGGGGGCCUUGCACACCGACCAACAGGACCAUGCCUCCCAAAACCAAGGAAAUGGGAGGCCGUUGCUAGGAGAGAGGAAAGACAGCUUUAUGGCAAUACAAAGCUGAUUCCCCCAUCCGACCUCAUAUCGCUCCCGCCCCCUCGUUCCCCGCUCUGGGGACAGAGACUUGAAUCUACUGGUUUGGGGACAGAUGGUCAAUGGGCCCCACCGUCUAUACAGCUGGACACGGGCUACACCGACACAGUCGGACCUGGCAGGACUGAAUCACACCUAAACCUGUCCAACGUAUCAGAAGAAGGGAAGCGCUGCAGCCUAGGCCAUCAGCUAAGAAUAGAUCCACACUUGUUGCCCACGGAAAAUGUGUGGCUGCACAAUAGAUGAUAAUAUGUUAAGAGUUUGUCUUUGUAGUAGUGUAAUGCUGUCUCUAGGAUGAAAAUCAUUCACUGAGGAUAAUGACAGGUUGUCUCUUUCUUCUCUCUUGAUGCUAUUUAGUUUAUUAACACUUUCUGGCAAUGAUUUGGUCAACCCUAUGGGGAAGUUCUACAAUGAGACACUCCCUACACAAACACACACAGAAAUCCAAACAUGACUCUGAUGUAAAUAGGAGUAUGUUGGGUUUUUUAAAAAUCUCCCUUGUUCUGAUAAUCUGGACAUCCCCCAUUAAAGUGACUGAACUUUAAAAUGGCUGCCAUGUUUGUUAAAUGUUUUCCUCCACAAAUGGAAAAAAGGGUUCCAAAAUAGGUGAAGCACUUCUUCCUAUAUGGAAAGUAUCUCAGCCAUGACACCACCUGAAACCAUCUGAAACAAUGGCACAUCUGCUCUCACUAGACCUCUGGUUGAAAGGGCAA
Molecule: long non-coding RNA, 2732 nt
Organism: Scophthalmus maximus (turbot)
Lineage: Eukaryota; Metazoa; Chordata; Actinopteri; Pleuronectiformes; Scophthalmidae
Exons: 3
Source: RefSeq, a predicted model, not a curated record